AGAGUUUGAUCCUGGCUCAGGACGAACGCUGGCGGCGUGCCUAAUACAUGCAAGUCGAGCGGACAGAUGGGAGCUUGCUCCCUGAUGUUAGCGGCGGACGGGUGAGUAACACGUGGGUAACCUGCCUGUAAGACUGGGAUAACUCCGGGAAACCGGGGCUAAUACCGGAUGGUUGUUUGAACCGCAUGGUUCAAACAUAAAAGGUGGCUUCGGCUACCACUUACAGAUGGACCCGCGGCGCAUUAGCUAGUUGGUGAGGUAACGGCUCACCAAGGCGACGAUGCGUAGCCGACCUGAGAGGGUGAUCGGCCACACUGGGACUGAGACACGGCCCAGACUCCUACGGGAGGCAGCAGUAGGGAAUCUUCCGCAAUGGACGAAAGUCUGACGGAGCAACGCCGCGUGAGUGAUGAAGGUUUUCGGAUCGUAAAGCUCUGUUGUUAGGGAAGAACAAGUGCCGUUCGAAUAGGGCGGUACCCUCACGGUACCUAACCAGAAAGCCACGGCUAACUACGUGCCAGCAGCCGCGGUAAUACGUAGGUGGCAAGCGUUGUCCGGAAUUAUUGGGCGUAAAGGGCUCGCAGGCGGUUUCUUAAGUCUGAUGUGAAAGCCCCCGGCUCAACCGGGGAGGGUCAUUGGAAACUGGGGAACUUGAGUGCAGAAGAGGAGAGUGGAAUUCCACGUGUAGCGGUGAAAUGCGUAGAGAUGUGGAGGAACACCAGUGGCGAAGGCGACUCUCUGGUCUGUAACUGACGCUGAGGAGCGAAAGCGUGGGGAGCGAACAGGAUUAGACACCCUGGUAGUCCACGCCGUAAACGAUGAGUGCUAAGUGUUAGGGGGUUUCCGCCCCUUAGUGCUGCAGCUAACGCAUUAAGCACUCCGCCUGGGGAGUACGGUCGCAAGACUGAAACUCAAAGGAAUUGACGGGGGCCCGCACAAGCGGUGGAGCAUGUGGUUUAAUUCGAAGCAACGCGAAGAACCUUACCAGGUCUUGACAUCCUCUGACAAUCCUAGAGAUAGGACGUCCCCUUCGGGGGCAGAGUGACAGGUGCUGCAUGGUUGUCGUCAGCUCGUGUCGUGAGAUGUUGGGUUAAGUCCCGCAACGAGCGCAACCCUUGAUCUUAGUUGCCAGCAUUCAGUUGGGCACUCUAAGGUGACUGCCGGUGACAAACCGGAGGAAGGUGGGGAUGACGUCAAAUCAUCAUGCCCCUUAUGACCUGGGCUACACACGUGCUACAAUGGACAGAACAAAGGGCAGCGAAACCGCGAGGUUAAGCCAAUCCCACAAAUCUGUUCUCAGUUCGGAUCGCAGUCUGCAACUCGACUGCGUGAAGCUGGAAUCGCUAGUAAUCGCGGAUCAGCAUGCCGCGGUAAAUACGUUCCCGGGCCUUGUACACACCGCCCGUCACACCACGAGAGUUUGUAACACCCGAAGUCGGUGAGGUAACCUUUUAGGAGCCAGCCGCCGAAGGUGGGACAGAUGAUUGGGGUGAAGUCGUAACAAGGUA
Molecule: ribosomal RNA, 1508 nt
Filed under: metagenome
Description: bacterial SSU rRNA
Rfam family: Bacterial small subunit ribosomal RNA
Source: RNAcentral